This 447-nucleotide long non-coding RNA is filed under the name Lathyrus oleraceus (garden pea). RNAcentral describes it as "Pisum sativum (pea) long non-coding RNA (PSAT_LNC008628)". Lineage: Eukaryota; Viridiplantae; Streptophyta; Magnoliopsida; Fabales; Fabaceae. The record is from RNAcentral.
UUGUGAGCAAGCGUCCAAUAAGAUUUUGUGUGUGUGUCUUGCUCGUAUGGUGUCAUACCAUUGCAAUAACGGACCAAACAAAGGAAGAAAUUUAUGGAGUUAUCCACUUUUUGGCAGGUUCAUAUCUUUUUCAACUCAAAUGAUUUCUGAUUUGUACUAUAUUGAAAUAGGUUUGGAUAUGGUUGCAUGAUGGUGACACUUGUAAUUUGUUUAUUUGGGAUGAAGACAUAGAACAAGGAAAAAAUAUUGUUGAAUUUGUAAAUGAUGAUUGUAGCAAGAUGAAGGGUUGGAAGUUGUUAAAAUUAUGAAGGAGUUGUACGAAUUUUCAAAGAAGAAGAACAAGUAACUGUAGAAGAAACAUAACUCAAAGGGAUUUGCUGGAAAACUAAAGUUAAUAUGUGUUGUAUUUUCAUGUAUGUUAAACGUUUAAUUGAUAAUGAAGUGAAA